Molecule: ribosomal RNA, 465 nt
Filed under: uncultured bacterium
Lineage: Bacteria
Description: partial 16S ribosomal RNA
Rfam family: Bacterial small subunit ribosomal RNA
Source: RNAcentral
CCUACGGGGGGCAGCAGUGGGGAAUAUUGCGCAAUGGGCGAAAGCCUGACGCAGCGACGCCGCGUGAGGGAUGAAGGUCUUCGGAUCGUAAACCUCUGUCAGCAGGGAAGAACGGUCACUGUGCUAAUCAGCAGUGAAUUGACGGUACCUGCAAAGGAAGCACCGGCUAACUCCGUGCCAGCAGCCGCGGUAAUACGGAGGGUGCGAGCGUUAAUCGGAAUUACUGGGCGUAAAGCGCUCGUAGGCGGUAUGUCAAGUCAAGGGUGAAAGCCCCGCGCUCAACGUGGGAACUGCAUUUGAAACUGGCAAACUGGAGUGUGGGAGAGGAUAGUGGAAUUCCAGGUGUAGGAGUGAAAUCCGUAGAGAUAUGGAGGAACAUCAGUGGCGAAGGCGACUAUCUGGCACAUAACUGACGCUGAGGAGCGAAAGCGUGGGUAGCAAACAGGAUUAGAUACCCUAGUAGUC